RNAcentral lists this unclassified non-coding RNA (217 nucleotides) under fungal sp. RNAcentral describes it as "partial internal transcribed spacer region". The stretch from base 1 to 46 matches the Rfam family "Eukaryotic small subunit ribosomal RNA", at positions 1786 to 1831 of the family's 1831-position model. RNAcentral also lists the same sequence under 2 other names. Lineage: Eukaryota; Fungi. The record is from RNAcentral.
AAGUCGUAACAAGGUUUCCGUAGGUGAACCUGCGGAAGGAUCAUUAUCGUAGGGCUUCGGCCCUGUCGAGAUAGAACCCUUGCCUUUUUCGAGUACCGUCCGUUUCCCCAGCAGGCUUGCCUGCUACUGGGGACCCAAAACCAAACUCUUUUGUACCUGUAAUCGUCUGAAAACAAAACAAAAAUUAAAACUUUUAACAACGGAUCUCUUGGUUCUG